GCGAAAAAAAUUGUCUUGGAACGAGGCCUCCAGGUGCCCUCGAGCUCGCACUCGCAUGAGAUCCCUUCCAGGCCACCACGCCACACCACCAGAUCCCAUCGCCGCCACCUCGCACUCGCAUCCCAUCGCCGCCGCCCGUGCGUUCUCGAUCGGAGAGGACGCUCCCUUCGCCGCCGCUGAGAUCCGAGAAGAGUCGCCCUUCGCCGGCGCCAAGAUCCUGUGCCUCUCUAAAGACCCCUCUCUCGCGCGACACCGCCUCCCUUACAAGGACGCCAUGCCAUGGGUCUCCAUCGGUGCCACGACUGCCGCGGCCUCCCCACCUGCCGACGCUCUAGAUCCGGCCGUAGUUGAUUCCCUGUACAUCAUCUCAAGGAGGAGGGGCGUGAGGCGGUUGCCGCCGCCGGUGGUUGCACUUGAAGGUCUCCGUCGCUUGCUCCAACCAGAUCCAGCCAGACCGACCUGUGGUGGUCCACGUGCAUCUGGACGGACGCAACGGCUUUGCCUCCCCUGUCCCAUGUCUUCGUCCACCACACCAUCCCAUUGCGGUAAUAAAUCUCUAGCCAUGCCCUUUUCCUUGAGAUGAACUACAAAAUUUCUGUUCUAUUAUAUCUUGGUGAAUGUCUCGUCAAUUGCCAUACAAAUACAUGUGUGCUUCUCCUGUCGUGCAUUUGAUGGGUAAGCUGCUGCUACCCGGGCUCACAUGACCCCGUGGAGGAAGGAGCUGCGCAAGGAAUCACUGCCAAAAGACUCGAGAUGAGUUUGGAGUGUCCUGGAUUCCAGUCCAUGUUCCGCAAGGACGAAGCAACGCGAGCUAGCCGAGGGUUCAGAUUGACGUUCGCUUUGAUUCUCGUUGAUUCAUUGUUUUGACCGACCCAAGCAGCGCCGGCGCUCACGGAGGAGAACCUGAUAUUUCUAGAGGCCUGACGCGCGGUCGAUCACACUUACUACGACAAGUCCUCCAACGGGUGGAGCUGGUUCAGGUACCACAAGCACCCUCCAGGAAAAGCAGGUUCCAGCUGUGCAAAGUCUGCCUACUACUGCUAUCCAUACUGCGCUAUAGCAAAAUAGCUUUGGAUCAGGACUAACCUCUAGCCAGGAAAGAACCUGAAUCCCAAGUCGACGGCCGCUGCGGUGCCCACGUCCGCGUCAUUAGUGCUGCUAAGGGGCGCUUCACCCUGUUCGGCAUUAUCUUCUAUUCUUCCUACGGCUGCAAGAACCCUCACCUUGGCUAUGGCAGAUGCGACAGAUAAAGCAGGAGAUGGAUGAAAUGCUGCUGAGACGUUACAAGAUAUUCCAGCAGAGGCAUCCUUACCAUCCGCAUUACAAGGAUAUGAGAACAUUGGGGUCCUGAAGGCAGUGACCUGUUUACCAUACACAUAUUUACUUCCUUUCUAGGGUGGAACAAUGGAAGGCACAAUUCCAAAUUUCCAAGUACAGCUCUUCAAGAACAGGAUCUCUGAAGGAACAACAAUUUACAAGCUUGGCGCUUACCAGGUUCAGUAUGCUAGGGAAAGAUACAAAACUGUAGAUCGUCCAUGGAGAGUAGUGUUUGCCCAAAAAACUACCGUCGAACCAAUUGUGCCUCAGCCACCAAACUUUCCCAAGUAUGGAUAUACCACCUACAAUGUACACAGUACCAAAGCUGCAUUAAACAAAUCGUUUUGUUGUCAGUUACUAGCAUCACAAGAAUAUUUGCGCCGAGCGGCAGAUCGAUUGACCAGAUAUGAGAAAAUCACAUCACAAAUAAUGCCCGCCGUUGUGAUGUUUUGGGGAAAAUUAGCAGAUGCCCUUGAUGCAGACAAGCUACAACGGUGGUCUGCUCAAGAACCCAUUAUAGUUCUAUUUGUUGGCAUGCCAGUACAUGAAUUUAAUGAAACUUGACCUUCAAGUCCUGUCUGGCAACUCGAUGGUACAUGAAUCCAACUAUUUCUGAAGCGGCAGCUAUUCUAGGAAGAUCUACUGCAAGAUCCCAUCAAAUUGAGAUAAGCACCGGCUCACAGGGUCAUCGCUAGGCAACAAAUACAACAAACACAUAAUUAUCAGCCGUUGACCCUGGUGGAAUCAUGGACCAGUACUAUAAACUGGAAAUAAAGAGAACUGAAGUGUCCCCUUCCACGGCGUUGGGGGGCCUUUCUCUGCCAGGCGCGGUGGCUCCUUGGUAGGAUGAUGCAGCUGGCUCGGCGGAGGCUAGGAGGCUCGUCGGCCGACAUUUCGUUGAUGCAUGGGUGCCAUAUUGCGAUGGAACGGCAGUAUAAUAUACAAAACUUUGACGAGGCUCACCUGCUUCAAAAUUUCACAAUAAGUCCAAUCAAGACAACUUGCAACUUUGGUGUUGUCACAUUGGAGUUCGUGCUGAGCAGCAAUGGGAGACUGUCCUUGAUGCCCGACCCAUGAUGCCGACGAAGGAACGAGAGUCGAUGAGGAGUAGACGCCAUGGGUUUGUGAACUGGCCAAGCCACCGUUGUCCGUUUGGUAAUGUGACUUGCCCUGAUUUUGACGUCGUCUACCAACAUCCGACGAAGGGAACCCGUCCCGGUUUCCAUCUUGAUGGUCAGCCAUGUUUACUAAAAUAUAUAAUUUCUAAAACAUUUCCAGCAAUAUGUGAGUUGUUUGCUUGCUCAACAUUACUCUAGGAUCGUUUCUACAUGCUACAAAUAGAGGGAAGUUGGCUUGUGCCUUAGUAGAGACAGAUGAACCAAUAAAAUGAUUGGAAAGGCUCUUUCCAAGCAUAAGAGGAGCUUUUGAAGGGACUGAAGAACCGGAACCUCCCCUCCUCCCUCCCGCGACGCUCCCGCAGGCGUCCGGGGGGCAACCCUAGCACCGCCGCCGGCCCCCCCUCCUCUCCCUACCCCCUCGCGGCCGCCCGGGGGCGCGAGCGGGCGAAGCCCGCUCGUCGCUGGCGGCGGCGGGGCCUUCUUGUCUCCGCGCGUGGGGGUUUCUGUGAGGGCCGGACGCCUCUGGCCGGAUGCGGCGCUUGGCGCUGGCCGUGGCAGCUCAGCAGCGCGCCGACGUGGGCUGUCGGCGGCGCAUGCCAGCGAUGCGAUGGACAGUGCGGUGGUGGUGCAGGCUGGAGGCUGGUGGUGGCGGCGGCGCGCCCAGAUCCGCCUCUGGCGCCGCGAGUUGCGGGCGACCUGGAUCACGGUCGGCCUUCCCUACCAUGGCUCGUGGGGGGGCAGCGGGUGGAUGCGUGUGCCGUUGCCCGUCCGAGCCCUUGCGGCAGGUCGAUGUUGCACGGCGCUGGAGACUCCCCUGGUGGCCAUCCAUGGAUGCGGCGGCGGGCUCUGCUUCCUCAUUAGAUUAAAUUUUGGUAUUACAUUUUUUAGCACUUCAUGUGAAUGUUCUAUAGUCUCUAUUGUGCAGGCGGGUCUACUCUCCCUCUUGAGGCGAGUGUGGAUGUAAUGGAUAUUGAUUGUGGUUGUUCGGACAAAAAUAUUGCGUGGAAACAUUAUAUACUGAUGGAGAGUAGUAGUUGUGGAGCGGGUCGUGGGAGAGACGGUUGGUUAGCAUGGGCUGGACGGGAAGGUGAUGCCUGCGAUGGCGACCAAGCCGACGGGCAGGGCAGGGGCGACUGUGGCCAUCGUGGUGUUUUCAAGGGAGAGCGAGGCAACUGCAAUCACGCAACUGAAGAAGUCGGAACCCGGGGCGAAGUUGGCCAACAUGAAAGCUGACAAACCUAAAUGCCGGUGAUAGGUUGUUCGCCGCUGUCGCGCCGUCUUUGAACUUGGUGGAGACGCAGAAGCAGUGGCGGAGCUAGGAUCAAGCCACGACCCGGGCAAGCCCCAGGCCAAUCACUUGGUACAGUGCUAAACAGUGUAAAAUCCACUACAGUAAACGAAGGAGCCAAGCCUCAGGACCCAGGCCGCCGCCCGGGCAGCCUGGGGCUUGUCUCCGCCACUAUGCAGAAGGAGAACGGUGGCGCCGUGAAGACCUUGACGACUGCUGCCAUGACCACAACCAUGAUGAUUGUGUUGGUAAUAAAGAUACUAAUUAUAUACAAAUCCCCCAGCUUCGAAAACAUUAGAUUAUCCAACUUAUUAUUCAAAUUCUUGAUUCAAGAUAAAUGGAAAUUUCCUAUA
Molecule: long non-coding RNA, 4076 nt
Organism: Triticum dicoccoides
Lineage: Eukaryota; Viridiplantae; Streptophyta; Magnoliopsida; Poales; Poaceae
Exons: 13
Source: RefSeq, a predicted model, not a curated record